CUCAUAUAGAAGCUGUAUAUAAUAUUCAUUCCUCUUAAAAAGGUGUAUCAAAUCAUGAGGAUAAUUCUUUACGUGAAUGGACAGAGUCAUAUACUCAGGGUGGAGUAGAUUUAAUAAGAAUCUAAGGGGCAUGAUUUUCACUCAGAGGUCAGGUACAAUAGCGUUUGAAAAAUUAUUGGACAGCUACAUGGAUAGGAAAGGUGUAGAAGGAUAUGGACCAAAUGCGGGCAAAUGGGACUAGCUUAGGUGGAACAUCUUGAUCGACAUGGAUGAGUUAGGCUGAAGGGCCUGUUUCCAUGCUGAUUAAUUCUAUAAUUCU
Molecule: long non-coding RNA, 319 nt
Organism: Amblyraja radiata (thorny skate)
Lineage: Eukaryota; Metazoa; Chordata; Chondrichthyes; Rajiformes; Rajidae
Exons: 3
Source: RefSeq, a predicted model, not a curated record